This 265-nucleotide unclassified non-coding RNA is filed under the name Ascomycota sp. RNAcentral's name for it is "partial contains small subunit ribosomal RNA, internal transcribed spacer 1, and 5.8S ribosomal RNA". The stretch from base 1 to 47 matches the Rfam family "Eukaryotic small subunit ribosomal RNA", at positions 1785 to 1831 of the family's 1831-position model. Lineage: Eukaryota; Fungi; Ascomycota. The record is from RNAcentral.
AAAGUCGUAACAAGGUUUCCGUAGGUAAACCUACAGAAGGAUCAUUAUUUUAGUAGCUUGCUACAGCUCAGGGGUUCUAUCAGACUGUAUAGUAAUGCUACUAAUAAGCAGCAUAAACCUCGAACCCAACCCUUGUUUUUUGUGUACCUAUGUUUCCUUAGCAGAUCAUAUCCGCUGGCUAGACAUCUCCAACAUACUUGAACAUUCAAUUAGCGUCUGAGAAACUUAAUUAUUACAACUUUCAACAACGGAUCUCUUGGUUCUA